GAUCCUGGCUCAGGAUGAACGCUAGCGGCAGGCCUAACACAUACAAGUCGAGGGGCAGCAUAGUGUAGCAAUACAAUUGAUGGCGACCGGCGCACGGGUGCGUAACGCGUAUGCAACCUACCCAGAACAGGGGGAUAACACUGAGAAAUUGGUACUAAUAUCCCAUAACAUCGAUAAGGGGCAUCCCUUUUGGUUGAAAACUCCGGUGGUUCUGGAUGGGCAUGCGUUGUAUUAGCUGGUUGGUGAGGUAACGGCUCACCAAGGCAACGAUACAUAGGGGACUGAGAGGUUAACCCCCCACAUUGGUACUGAGACACGGACCAAACUCCUACGGGAGGCAGCAGUGAGGAAUAUUGGUCAAUGGACGCAAGUCUGAACCAGCCAUGCCGCGUGCCAGGAAGACGGCUCUAUGAGUUGUAAACUGCUUUUGUACUAGGGUAAACUCAGAUACGCGUAUCUGACUGAAAGUAUAGUACGAAUAAGGACCGGCUAACUCCGUGCCAGCCGCUGC
RNAcentral lists this ribosomal RNA (511 nucleotides) under uncultured bacterium. Its description in RNAcentral is "bacterial SSU rRNA". It matches the Rfam family "Bacterial small subunit ribosomal RNA", at positions 15 to 518 of the family's 1533-position model. The record is from RNAcentral.